Suncus etruscus (white-toothed pygmy shrew) is the source of this 104-nucleotide small nuclear RNA. The record is from RefSeq and is a predicted model, not a curated record. Lineage: Eukaryota; Metazoa; Chordata; Mammalia; Eulipotyphla; Soricidae.
GUGCCCGCAUUGGCACAUAUACUAAAAUUAUAACAAUACAGAAAAUAUUAACAUGUUCCCUGUGCAAGGAUGACACAUAAAUUUAUGAAGCAUUCCAUAUUUUA